AUUGAACGCUGGCGGCAGGCCUAACACAUGCAAGUCGAGCGAGCGGCGGACGGGUGAGUAAUGUAUGGGGAACUGCCCGAUAGAGGGGGAUAACUACUGGAAACGGUGGCUAAUACCGCAUACUAUCGGAUGAACCCAAAGGGGUUUAGCUAGUAGGUGGGGUAAAGGCUCACCUAGGCGACGAUCACUAGCUGGUCUGAGAGGAUGAUCAGCCACACUUGGACUGAGACACGGCCCAGACUCCUACGGGAGGCAGAAGUGGGGAAUAGUGCACAAUGGGAGCAAGCCUGAUGCAGCCAGGCCGCGUGUAUGAAGAAGGCCUUCGGGUUGUAAAGUACUUUCAGCGGGGAGGCGUUACCCGCAGAAGAAGCACCGGCUAACUCCGUGCCAGCAGCCGCGGUAAUAC
This 406-nucleotide ribosomal RNA is filed under the name uncultured bacterium. RNAcentral describes it as "partial 16S ribosomal RNA". It matches the Rfam family "Bacterial small subunit ribosomal RNA", at positions 29 to 526 of the family's 1533-position model. The record is from RNAcentral.